Molecule: non-coding RNA, 64 nt
Organism: Glycine max (soybean)
Lineage: Eukaryota; Viridiplantae; Streptophyta; Magnoliopsida; Fabales; Fabaceae
Source: Rfam
GGUUUACACUUGAUCUCUGAACUUCAGGUAAGUUCACGUGUUGACAAGUUCAUUAACUGAUGCA